RNAcentral lists this transfer RNA (57 nucleotides) under Glutamicibacter halophytocola. Its description in RNAcentral is "tRNA-OTHER". It matches the Rfam family "tRNA". Rfam says of the family: Transfer RNA (tRNA) molecules are approximately 80 nucleotides in length. Their secondary structure includes four short double-helical elements and three loops (D, anti-codon, and T loops). RNAcentral also lists the same sequence under 1 other name. The record is from RNAcentral. Lineage: Bacteria; Bacillati; Actinomycetota; Actinomycetes; Micrococcales; Micrococcaceae.
GCGACUGUAGCUCAGGAGUAGAGCCAAGGUGCGCAGGUGCAACUCCUGCCAGUCGCA